GAUGAACGCUGGCGGCGUGCCUAAUACAUGCAAGUCGAGCGAACGGACGAGAAGCUUGCUUCUCUGAUGUUAGCGGCGGACGGGUGCGUAACACGUGGAUAACCUACCUAUAAGACUGGGAUAACUUCGGGAAACCGGAGCUAAUACCGGAUAAUAUUUUGAACCGCAUGGUUCCAAAGUGAAAGACGGUCUUGCUGUCACUUAUAGAUGGAUCCGCGCUGCAUUAGCUAGUUGGUAAGGUAACGACUUCCCAAGGCAACGAUGCGUAGCCGACCUGAGAGGGGGAUCGGCCACACUAGAACUGAGACACGGUCCAGACUCCUACGGGAGGCAGCAGUAGGGAAUCGGCCGCAAAGGGCGAAAGCCUGACGGAGCAACGCCGCGUGAGUGAUGAAGGUCUUCGGAUCGUAAAGCUCUGUUAUUAGGGAAGAACAUAUGUGUAAGUAACUGUGCACAUCUUGACGGUACCUAAUCAGAAAGCCACGGCUAACUACGUG
This 497-nucleotide ribosomal RNA is filed under the name uncultured bacterium. Its description in RNAcentral is "partial 16S ribosomal RNA". It matches the Rfam family "Bacterial small subunit ribosomal RNA", at positions 28 to 507 of the family's 1533-position model. The record is from RNAcentral.